AUGUCCUUUUGGCGCAUCUUUUGUUUUCAACACCUCUACUGCAUCAAGGACGGAGAUACCGGAGCGGUACGCGGACACAUGAUCAGGAUUUUCCCUUCAGAAUCACGUCGCCCUCCAGGAGAAAUCUCGCUUCAGCUGCCUGCAUCUGCGUGCAGAGACGGAGCCAUGGAUGAGAGGAAGCUGGAGCAGCAGGUGGCCAGUGUAGGGAGAGGGAUCGCCUUCUUGGAGCAGGAGCACCUGGCCAUGCUGACCGGCCUGCGGCUGGAGAUCACACACCUGAGGAGGCGCUGUCAUGAGCUAAGCUGUGAGUUGGAGUCCAGGUUUCCUGACAGAAUCAUCGGAGAGGAGGAAGCAGAACUGGCCACACGGUGUGAGGCUGCAGUGCUUCUCUUAGAGGACCAGCAGUGCAUGAUGGUCGCCGCGCGUGGGGAGCUGCGGGCCGGCCGGGCCAGAGCGUCAGCCCUGGGAAGAAGCCUCAGAGAAGAGGAGCGGAGUUUCCUGGAGGAGCUGAAGCGCAGGAGCCACCAGAUCACGCUGCUGAAUCGUGAGCUGCAGCAUCAGAAUGUCGUCACCAUGAGCCUCUGCCACGAGUUGCAUUCCGCACGAUUAAAACUGUUCCAACAGCGGCAGAGCGCAGAGACAUCUGGAGAGGAGGAAGCAAGGCGGGAUGAGGAGGAGGAAGAGGAUGACGAAGAGGAGGAGGGCGGUGAUAAUGAAGAUGAAGGAUCGUUGUGGCUUUUGUCCCCACCUCCGCCAGCCUCCCCUCAUCUUCCAGAGGCGAGUCACAGGGGGCGUGUCAGCAGCGUCAGGGAGGAGAGGGUCCGAGCUUGCGUCCCUCAGGAGAGAGUGACAUCGCCUCAAAGGCCACACCCUAUGCCUGACCCCGCCCUCUUCUUGUUUCCACUAAGAUACCGCCUCCUUCGCUAUAACCCUCCAAUCAAAACACCGGACGGAGAUGGGCUGGAGGAUGAAUGGGAGGACAUAGAGGACAUCAGGGUACACAGGCGGGUGGACAUGGAGGCAGGAGAAGGAGAAACUGCACUGUGAUGAUGGUAUUCAAGACUGUGAUGUCUUCCACAAAGUCUCAGUUAACCUGAUGUGAUGUUCCAGAAAAUGGUAAUGAUUGAAGCGGGGCUUUCUGUAGGUUUCAGGUUAAGUAUUUAGAGUUAGUUGGGUGUGUGUGUGAUUUUAGUCACAAGUCAACUUAAAAUGCCCCAUCAGUGGAUCAGAAAAUAAGGAUCAGCACUAAUGGACUUUCCUCUGGACGCCUCUUGAUUAUAACACUGUUGAUCACAGCUUUUGCCCGUAAUUAGUAGCCUUGUCUGUGAGCGUGUAAACAUUUCCAGCCUCUAAAGUGGGCCCCUGAUUUUUCACAGCACCAGUUGUAAUCGAGGGGAAUUGCAUCACUUCUAAAGGCUUUGAUAUAUUUUGUAUAAUUUGCACUUUAUUAAAUCCAUGCAAUGUGGCUAGUAAUGGCCCAGUAAUUGUGGUGUGAGACUGUUUGUUUACAGC
This 1512-nucleotide long non-coding RNA is filed under the name Takifugu rubripes (torafugu). RNAcentral describes it as "lncRNA (ENSTRUG00000026228.1)". The record is from RNAcentral. Lineage: Eukaryota; Metazoa; Chordata; Actinopteri; Tetraodontiformes; Tetraodontidae.